Molecule: transfer RNA, 118 nt
Filed under: Candidatus Aenigmatarchaeota archaeon
Lineage: Archaea; Nanobdellati; Candidatus Aenigmatarchaeota
Description: tRNA-Pro
Rfam family: tRNA (bases 48-116)
About the family: Transfer RNA (tRNA) molecules are approximately 80 nucleotides in length. Their secondary structure includes four short double-helical elements and three loops (D, anti-codon, and T loops).
Source: RNAcentral
GGGCCUGUAGUUUAGCUUGGUUGAAUUGACGUGACUCAGAGAAUUGAGCCUCGAUAAUUUAAAGAAAGAAUCCCGGCUUCGGGAGCCGGAGGCUGGAGUUCAAAUCUCCGCAGGCCCA